This 467-nucleotide ribosomal RNA is filed under the name uncultured bacterium. RNAcentral's name for it is "partial 16S ribosomal RNA". It matches the Rfam family "Bacterial small subunit ribosomal RNA", at positions 28 to 506 of the family's 1533-position model. The record is from RNAcentral.
GACGAACGCUGGCGGCGUGCUUAACACAUGCAAGUCGAACGGAAAGGCCCUGCUUUUGUGGGGUGCUCGAGCGGCGAACGGGUGAGUAACACGUGAGUAACCUGCCCUUGACUUUGGGAUAACUUCAGGAAACUGGGGCUAAUACCGGAUAGGAGCUCCUGCUGCAUGGUGGGGGUUGGAAAGUUUCGGCGGUUGGGGAUGGACUCGCGGCUUAUCAGCUUGUUGGUGGGGUAGUGGCUUACCAAGGCUUUGACGGGUAGCCGGCCUGAGAGGGUGACCGGCCACAUUGGGACUGAGAUACGGCCCAGACUCAUACGGGAGGCAGCAGUGGGGAAUAUUGCACAAUGGGCGGAAGCCUGAUGCAGCAACGCCGCGUGCGGGAUGACGGCCUUCGGGUUGUAAACCGCUUUCGCCUGUGACGAAGCGUGAGUGACGGGAAUGGGUAAAGAAGCACCGGCGAACUACGU